GAAAAAAAAAGAAUGUCUACCGUAAAAAAAAACCACUACUUAUUGAACCUAAAAUACUGAGAGUAUAACAGUACUUUGACACUGACCUUAUACCUGCAAGAAUAGAUACGUUAACAAGAACUGUCCUGUUUGCUGUAAUCUAUACAUUGUUUACAAGUCACAGCAUUAAAGCCAUUUUAAAUAAGAAUGUAUUGUUGUAGACUCCUGCAGAUGUGUUUGAUUUCUGCUUGCUUUAUCAUGUCAUGGAGUGUCAUCGGCACCCAGGCAGUUGGUUCCAUCUCUUCACUCUUCAAUAUUACCUCUACAAUAACGACAGCACCCUCUAUCUACGACAAGGAUUCCAUUACCCAGUUCUACAAGAUCUUCGCACCGGUGUUGGUCACCUUUUUCACCGGCGGCUCCAUCUCUCAGCAAUGUUUCGGCAUUAUCGGUGCCGCUGCUGAUCCGUGGCUGCAGGCGUUUCUUACCUUUUUCUUUAGCCUUGUCGAUACUAACCACGAUGGUGUUCUGACCCCUGCGGAUACAUCUCCACUCGGAAUUUUUAUAGUUUUCAUUGAAUUUCUCAUUCUGGGUGCAGAUACAGGGAAUGACUAUUCUAUAUCUCUGGCCGAGUUCACGUCGUUUUUAAACGUGGCGCCCUUCCAGCCAAACGAGGUCUACAAGAAUGCUUUGCUGGUGAUGUUCUCAGCUCUGGAUCUUGACCAUGACCAGAAACUUAGCUUCUUUGAUAUCGUUCCUGUCAACAUCUUAGGUUGAAAUGUCAGACACUCGUGUACUGUAUGUUGGACUACACAGGUUUCAUGGUUCACCGCCUUCAAAUCAAAUUUAUAUUUAUUAGAAAACGUCUUUUUUUAUUUCUCUUGUUUUCCAAGUGAUAAAAGGGAGAGAAUAAAUAAGGUUUCAAAGUAAUAUUCUGUUUUUGUCUUAAAUAGAUUGUUAUAUGUGUGGAUUAUAUAAUGCGUAACCUAUUAUACAAUGUAGUUAAGUUAAUAAAUUAUUGUUCAAAAUAAAGGAUUGUCGUCUGA
Long non-coding RNA from Biomphalaria glabrata, 1025 nucleotides. RefSeq lists it as uncharacterized. The transcript is spliced from 5 exons. The record is from RefSeq and is a predicted model, not a curated record. Lineage: Eukaryota; Metazoa; Mollusca; Gastropoda; Planorbidae.